RNAcentral lists this long non-coding RNA (423 nucleotides) under Olea europaea (common olive). RNAcentral's name for it is "long non-coding RNA (OEUR_LNC000560)". Lineage: Eukaryota; Viridiplantae; Streptophyta; Magnoliopsida; Lamiales; Oleaceae. The record is from RNAcentral.
UGAAUUAUGAUAUAUACAUCUAGAUAUUUUCUAUCAAUAAUAAUGAGAAUCAUAAAAAUAAUAAUAAUCACAAUCCUUUUUUUGAUAAUUUACUAUUAUUGUUUGUAUGAAUAAGAAUAUCUGGUCCUUAAUAAAGACUUGCACUCGAAGAGACAAUACACAAUAGCCUAGAUCUAAUCAAUGAAUAAACAAAACUUAAAAGGACAGCAUUAUUAAUAUAAUUAUAAAUAUCACCAAAGAACAUACAUUUCACUUUCUCAAGGUUCUAAAUAUUCUUGAUUUAUUAUCCGAAUUCAUAUUUUUUUGCAGUCACCUUCCUCCAUAGCCAGCAUUUCUAAACAAUUCUUGCUUUACAUCUUCACAACUCAUGACUGAACGAUGCUCGAUUGCCUGAAAAAUUUAGGCCAGGAAAAAAAAAAANNN